UGAACAGUGAGAUCCUGAAUAAUACUCCCUUGCUGAACCCAGAGGAUGGCAGCGCUCUCACUGGACGUCCGUGGGGGAGGGAGACAGACGUGCAAUGGCCUUCAGAGCUCAAGGGUCACACCUCAGCCCCCUGUGUCACCACUGCCAGCAGCACCAAUUGGAAGAUGGAGGAGAAGGUUGAAAGGAGGGUGGCUUGGUUGACAAUAUUUCUCUACAGGCUCACCCACAGCCAGUGUCUCAGCCUUCUAAAACAGAAUAUAAGCUGUUACUCGGAGAACAGUAAGCAGCCUUUCAGGAGGUACAGCCAUUGGGCCCGAAGGUGUUACAUGCAUGAGAAAUGAUCACUGGUCAAAAUGACUUCAAAAGUCUCAGGCUAAAGCAAGUAGCAUUUACCAAAGUACUGGGCAAGAUUUUUUCCGAAGAUAUGGAACAAGUCCUCUAAGCUCCAUAGCACAUUUCCUGCCUGUACGUGGGGGGUGGGGAAAAUAGAAAAAAAUAUGAGAAGGAAGAGCCUACGCCAUGAGAGAGCAGGAGAACGCACAGCCUGGAUUUAUAAUACGAAUGGAAAGCCCAGGAGUAGAUAUUAGGCAAGUUAUCCCACCAACACACACAUAAGACACACAAGAAUAGCUUGAAAUAAACAAGUAGAAUUGAUUCGUAAAUCAUACUUUUGCACUCAGGAGCAAUGGAUGUCAAUCAAACAUGGAUGACAUUUGCUUGUCAAUAUGGGGAUGAUGGCUGGGAAGACAGAGACUUACUACAUCAGGGCGAGAAUGUGAAAUGAGAAGCAGGAACAAAUAAGACUACAGCAACCAAACAAAAGACUAACACCCUGGGUGAUGUUGUCUGUGGGCUCCACAGCGUGGACCCCUCCUUCUCUGGCUCUUCUGCCUACCCUGACCCCACCCUGUUGGUUUCAUUCUUUCUUUCCUGCUUUCAAACUAAAUAAGGUCAAAUGAGCAAGCAGAAGGAAACAAAGAUUCAUUGAUUCUUUUAAAAGAAAUGUCAGCAGUUCCUGCAGGUCUUUCCUGGGAGAAUCAACUGUGAGUGUCCGGCAGUGGGGCUCAGCCUGGCCCAGGUCUCCACAGCACCUCAGCUUGGCUCAUGAGGCACUCCUGCUGCUGGGAAAUACUCCCCACUUCUCAAACCUUUCAUUUUUAUUAUUUAUGAAUGUGUGUCUAUAUCUUGGGUAUAAUUAUACGUGUAUUUCAGAAUAUUUCAAUUCACGUGAGCUACCUUAUUUUCAGAUGUUCGAGCAGCAGACACAGUUAAGUUCUGUCCUGGACACAAUACCUAUUUUCCUAACACAUCUUCUGGGUUGCUUCUCUAAAGUCACCUUCCUUUUGGAAGACAAGGUGGUAAAAAGUAUGGUGUCAGCAAUGGAGAGCCGUGAGUUACUGACAUAAACUGUUCUCUGAUACAGUACCACCAAAUUAUCAAACUUCAUGAGACCUCUUUAUUGCUAAAGAGGGUCCAGUGAGGGAAAAAAUCGAGAGUUUUCUAAAGGUAGGAUUGUAUAAAUAAAUUCUCAACAAAAGUCUCAAGACACAUGGAGUUUCCUCUUUGAAGAAUGCUCAUCUCAUAGAGAAACCAUGUACCUUGGAAGUCACUUCCUCCCCCACCCUGAGGAUAACAUAAAAUAGUAGAGUUGGAAGGGACCGUAGCAAGCGAGUCUCCACCUGCUCACUCUGCAAAUGGUGAGACUGAGACACAGAGCCAAGAGCAAAGCAGGCCAUCCAGCGCCAGUAUCGCACACCUCGUUUUACUGAGCUUCACAGAUACUGCAUUUUGUACACAUUGAAGGUUUGCAGCAACCACCAGGGAAAAGAUUAUGACUCAAUGAAGGCUCAGAUAAUGGUUAGCAUGUUUUAGCAAUACAGUAUAUUUAGUUAAGGUAUGCAUAUUGGUUUUUUUAGAUUAAUGCACACUUAAUAGACUACAGCAUGGUCUAAACAUAACUUUGUAUGCACUGGGAAAUCAAGAAAUUCACGUGACUCACUUUAUUAGGAUAUUCACUUUACUGUGGUCUUGGAACCAAACCCACAGUAUUUCCAAGGCAGCCUGUGCACUUCCCAUACAACGUGGUAUCGGCGCAUUCCAACCCGGCCCAAGACCUAUGGUACUAGUCCCAGUAAUUGAGGCUUUCCUCUUUCCAUUUUCUCUGAUGCCAAAGCAAAGCUUGAUUUUGCAACUGAGAGCUCUACCAUCUCAAAGUUCUGCCGAGGUUUGGAAAGGUGCUCAGUAGUCAUCACCCCAUGAAGAUUUCAUCUCCCAGGUCACAAGGCCGACCCCUGUCUUUCAGUUGAAUGCACAAACCCAGGCAAUGCAUGAACAUUUGUGUUUUUUUAGUGAAGUUUAAAUUAUCGGUCUUCUUCCUUUUCUCUAGAAAUGCCACACCAUGUACUUCGGAAGUAGCUUUUCCCCCCACCCCAAGAUUUUCAUGGAUGACUGAGUAGUAUGG
Molecule: long non-coding RNA, 2461 nt
Organism: Myotis davidii
Lineage: Eukaryota; Metazoa; Chordata; Mammalia; Chiroptera; Vespertilionidae
Exons: 3
Source: RefSeq, a predicted model, not a curated record